AGCCCGGUGGUGUAAUGGUAGCACUGCUGGUUCUGGUCCAGUUAGUCUUGGUUCGAGUCCAGGCCGGGCUGCCA
RNAcentral lists this transfer RNA (74 nucleotides) under Lentisphaeria bacterium. RNAcentral describes it as "tRNA-Gln". It matches the Rfam family "tRNA". Rfam says of the family: Transfer RNA (tRNA) molecules are approximately 80 nucleotides in length. The record is from RNAcentral. Lineage: Bacteria; Pseudomonadati; Lentisphaerota; Lentisphaeria.